UACGGGGGGAGCAAGCGUUGUUCGGAUUUACUGGGCGUAAAGGGCGCGUAGGCGGUCGUGACAAGUCACUUGUGAAAUCUCCGGGCUUAACUCGGAACGGUCAAGUGAUACUGUCGGACUAGAGUACAGAAGGGGCAACUGGGAAUUCUCGGUGUAGCGGUGAAAUGCGUAGAUAUCGAGAGGAACACCUGCGGCGAAGGCGGGUUGCUGGGCUGAUACUGACGCUGAGGCGCGAAAGCCAGGGGAGCGAACGGG
Molecule: ribosomal RNA, 255 nt
Filed under: uncultured bacterium
Lineage: Bacteria
Description: partial 16S ribosomal RNA
Rfam family: Bacterial small subunit ribosomal RNA
Source: RNAcentral